AGACGUGAAGACAGAAGAGAGGUUCUUGUGCAUACGUUUGAACAGGGAAAAGAUUGAAAUCAAAUGCCCGGAGGUUCCAAGGAAGAGUAAAAAUAGAAGCCAGAGUGGCAGAGGGAACCAUUAUGCAGUGUGUGGCCCUCAUUCACGAUGCUUACAGUAGCUGAUUUAUUAGAAGACAGAAAAGAAAAUUGAUUUAUAAAUGGUCUUGGGAAGGGGAAACGGAUGGAAUAAAUGAGCUGAGACUAGGAUAUGAGCUACACUAAGGGCUCCAUGUGCCUUCUCAAAAGAAUAAAAGAAUCAAGACACAGUCUCACUAUUUGGGAGGUGUUGAAGGAGAUGCAUACAGCUGGCAAGGCCAAGGGAAGAUGCUGCGCUAUCUCCUACCAGUCCACUCCAACCAGGAGCCAGGCUGGAGCUGAAAACCGCAAAGGGCAAGGUCAUCAUAGCUGCAAAGGUCACAGAUGUCAGCCCAAACUGAUACAGAAGGCAGUCAUCACAACUUCUACCACCGCUCUGACCAAACAAGCCUCCCAGGUGCUGGGAUCUACCAGAGGAAAGGAGAAGAGAGCCUGAGAUGGAAUUUUGAACUGGACUCCAGUGAGUUAAUUAUCCUGAACCCACUGAUCAAUCUCAAGAGUGGGCUGAAUAUUCUGAGAAUGGCUGCCUGAAGAUGUCUGCCAGAGGGUGGCUAGAGGGUCAGAGACAGAAAUUCAGGGCUAUUUUAGAAAUAAACACAAGUCUACUUAUUUUUGUCCAUGUCUAGGCCUAUUGAAAUAUUUUACCCCUUACAUAAGAUUCCCUUACUCCCACUAAACCUCACCUUUAGUCUAACCAGGACCUCUGGCAUUUGACGCUUGACUGUCUCAACUUUCAGCCUCUCUUCUCAUUUCCCACCCUGACCUCUAGACACUAUGGUGUGCCAUGAGAUCUGUUUCCCUGACAAUGCAUUCAAUUCUC
Molecule: long non-coding RNA, 957 nt
Filed under: Homo sapiens (human)
Lineage: Eukaryota; Metazoa; Chordata; Mammalia; Primates; Hominidae
Description: HSALNT0382519
Source: RNAcentral